GACGAACGCUGGCGGCGUGCUUAACACAUGCAAGUCGAACGGUGAAGCGCCUUCCUUUUUGGUGGGUGUGGAUGAGUGGCGAACGGGUGAGUAACACGUGAGUAACCUGCCCCCUUCUUCUGGAUAACCGCAUGAAAGUGUGGCUAAUACGGGAUAUUCUGGGUCUGUCGCAUGAUGGGUCUGGGCAAGAUAUUGUUUCGGUUGGGGAUGGGCUCGCGGCCUAUCAGCUUGUUGGUGGGGUGAUGGCCUACCAAGGCGGUGACGGGUAGCCGGCCUGAGAGGGUGGACUGGCUGACUGGGACUGAGGCACGGCCAAGACUCCUCCGGGAGGCAGCAGUGGGGAGUAGUGCACAAUGGGCGCGAGCCUGAUGCAGCGACGCCGCGUGAGGGAUGGAGGCAUGCGGGUUGUGAACCGCUUUCGCCAGUGAAGCAGGCCUGCCUCGUUUGUGGGUGGGUUGACGGUAGCUGGAUAAGAAGCGCCGGCUAACUACGUG
This 494-nucleotide ribosomal RNA is filed under the name uncultured bacterium. RNAcentral describes it as "partial 16S ribosomal RNA". It matches the Rfam family "Bacterial small subunit ribosomal RNA", at positions 28 to 507 of the family's 1533-position model. The record is from RNAcentral.